Molecule: long non-coding RNA, 276 nt
Organism: Hippopotamus amphibius kiboko
Lineage: Eukaryota; Metazoa; Chordata; Mammalia; Artiodactyla; Hippopotamidae
Exons: 3
Source: RefSeq, a predicted model, not a curated record
CUUUGAUGAGCAAGGGCACCGCGCCCCCAUUUUCCCGAAAAUAUGGCCCCAGGGACCCCUGAAUUCCACGGUCAGGGUGGAGGGAAAGCACUUCGAAAAGCCAGGAGGGACACUGGACACGGAGUGGACUCUGACCGCUAACGUGGGUUUAUCUGCAUUAUUGCAGGCAGUUAUGAGGAAGAACAUUGGAUGAUAUGGAGAUUGAGAUAAAAAGAAACAGGAUCAGCAGUAUUUCGUCUUGUGAAACUGAAAACCACAGCCACAGAAAGACAGAGA